Molecule: ribosomal RNA, 300 nt
Filed under: Triticum aestivum (bread wheat)
Lineage: Eukaryota; Viridiplantae; Streptophyta; Magnoliopsida; Poales; Poaceae
Description: partial small subunit ribosomal RNA
Source: RNAcentral
AUGGAUGCAUUCUCUGAGCUGGGGUCAAAUGAUCCGGAGUUUUUGUACGUUGUUGAGGUUGAUAAGGAAAGCAAGAUAAAAACCCUAUUGUGGACCAAUGGUAGAAGUAAGAUGCAAUACCACGAUUUUGGGGAUGUCAUAACAUUCGACACUACAUACAAGACAAAUCUGUACAACAUGCCUUUCGGGUUGUUCGUGGGGGUGAACAAUCACUUCCAGAAUAUCAUCAUGGGCGGGGUCAUAAUGAGAGAGGAAACGAUCGAGAGUUUCAAAUGGGUAUUCACCGAUUCAUCCGGCUGA